CCCGCCGCUUCUCCGCUCCGUCCCCCGCCGCUUCUCCGCUCCGCCGGAGCUCGGGCUCAGGCACAUUCUCCCGGAAAGGGCGCCGGCGCCGGCCCCGGAGGCGGCUCGAGGCGGGGAGUCCAGAGCCCUCCGGACCGAGGCAGGGACGGCCGGGGCCGCAGGCGGGAACGAGCCCCCAGAGUCCGGGAGAAGCCCCAGACAAGGAGACGAAGGAAGGAGGGCGUUCUUCGACCCGCGGCCGCAGCACCUCGAGGUGUGACUCCCCUCCCCCCCCCGCCCCCAAUCAAUAAACUCAAUCCCAAGGCUGACAGGGGCAGCUGAGGCCGGAGAGUGCGGGGGUGGGGGGGGCACAGGUGGCACUCACCGAAGUCUUCUUCCUCCAUGUUGACGCUUCGGCAGAAACGGGGGGUGCGGGGGAGGGGAGGAGGGGUCCGGAUCCCAAGAAGAGCCGGCUAGGUCCCGGCUACAGCUCGCGUCCCGCCGGCAGCGGCGGCCCGGGCUCUGGCUUCUGGACCCCGCCCCUCCUCCAAGGCGCCCGCCCGCCAGCCUGCCUGCCUGCUCGCUCGCUCGCUCCCGAAGACGGAUGGCACGCGAGCACGCGCGCCCUCUGCCUUCCCGUCUCCUCCUCCAACCCCGCCCUUCCCCUCUCUCGCCGGCGCGGGGCCUUCCUCUCUGAGGGCCGUCCCGCGGGCGGAGGAACGCGAGAAGGUUUCUCGGAGCUGGAGGUGAUGAGCGCCGGCGCUGUGAUGUCUCUUGACGUCAGGCUUAAAGGUUAGGUUUAUUCCGGCUUCCCCGAAGAGCUAAUUCUGACACGCGACGUUGCUCUGAGCCGGGGAAAGAAUGGCCUUGUUUGAACCGACUUAAGAGGGCUAAACUCGUGCCUUGCCCUCUAUUUGUCACGCCUCUCGGAGCAGAGGACGGAUCGAUUAUUUUAGUCUCACCAUAGGAGCCCCCUCUACUGUGGCAGACCGCAGCGCGGCUCCGGCUUAGUAACUAAGUCCUGGGGAGUUAGCCGAGAGAGAUGCUCACUCAAGCGCACACGGCUGGCACGGAUCACGGAGAAUCUGAACUCCCACCUCUCUGACUCCAACUCCGUCGCUGUACGAGCUGUUGCCGAUCCUUUCACAAACUACCUACACGCAGGAUACGGAAAUAAUUACCUGAGGGGAGGCACUAGAAUUAAGAGCGACUGGGAAAGAAAGGCAUCCUGUAAAAGAAGGGAGUCUCAGAAGUCAGGAGGUGGGGUUGGGCAAAGCGCUUUCAUGGGGCACAGCCAGAGAAAAUACCUUGAGUAGAGAAUGGAGUAUUUUGUUCCUGGCCCAGCAGAGAGCUCAGUGCCACUGGCUCAGAGUACUUGGUGGGGAGUCAGGUAUAAGAAACCUGGUAAGAUAGGAAGAGACCCUUAGUAGAGGCUUUGUAUUUGAACCUGGAGGUACUGGGGGAACUAUUCGGUUUUGAUCGGAUGAGGAGGGGUGUUGGAAUCCUAGUGUCAACUCGACUUGAAACAAGGUGAAAACUCAAGGGUGAUGUCAGAAUCCUGGUGUUAACUCCGUGCUUAUUGGUUCACACCUUAGAGAGAAUACUUACAAAGUGAUAAAUUGCUAAUACUGAUGGAAACAAUGCUUGUGUUCACACCUUUAGAGAGCUCAUAAGUAUCUAAGUACUCAAUGGAGUUCACACUUUUGGGAAAUUCAUAUCUCUUUUAGGGCCAGAGAGCACUCUGGGAGAUAACCCAGAAUCCCUCUCCCUCCAGAAGGCAAAGUUAACCUUUGGGAGAGGAGAUAUAUAUAUAUAUAUAUAUACAGGAAGCUCUUAGAGCUAGAGAGAGUUUUGAAUUGGGAGCAUUCCCGGGAGUCGGAGAGGAGCACUCUGCAAGAAAGUCUACAAGCCCUAUCUUCAAGGCAAGAGAGAGUCAUCGUAUCUUCUACCUUGGUGCUGGCUGGAGUCGGAAGAACAAACUUUUGGAUUUGGAGACAUUCGGCUGGAGCUCUUAGAACCAAGCGGAGAGAUAGGCCUCUGAGCUAAACGGGCUAUAUUGAAGGACACAAUAAAAGAUCUGAACUUUUUUAUUACCUGGCUGCGUUUUGGAAAAAGAAACACCAACAGAGGGGUGACAUGGUGAGACUUGUGCUUUGGGAAAUGGUGAAUGGAAGAUAAAUUGGAGUGGGGAGAUAAAAAGCAGGCAGCCCCACCAGCAGGCUAUUGCAAUAGCCAAGAGGAUAUAAGGGCCUAAACUAAAGGGGUUUCAAUGUCAGGGAAGAGAAGAAAGUACACUUGAGAGAUAUUGCAAAGGUGGAAUCAGCAUGCCUCAACAACAAUUUGAAUAUGGGAGGUGAGAGAUAGGAGUCAAAGAGGCCUGAGGGAUUAUGAAGACACUAUUCUACAGUAUUCUACAGUUUCUGAAGUAAUGGGGAAGAUAGGGAGAAGAGAGUUUAGAGAGAAAGAUAAGUUCACCUUGAGAUAUGUUGCGUUUCAUCAAAGUGAAGUAGCAGAAAAGAAGAGAAGAGGGCACAGAAUACAAUCUCAGCAGAGUCUUUCAGUGGUUAGAGACCGAGAAGAUGUGGUCAUAGAGGAAGAAUGAAAAACCAGGAGGAAGUGGGUCUUGAAAAACUAGAGAGAAAAGGAUAUCAAGAAAAAAAAGAAGUCAUCAACAUUGUCAAAAACUGAUGAGAUCAAGAAAGAUAAGGUUCAAGAAAAGACCAUUAGAUUUGACAUUUAAGAAGUUAUUGGUUAUUUCAGAGUCUGAUUCUUUUUGUACAGCGAAAUAACGUUUUGGUCAUGUAUACUUAUUGUGUAUCUAAUCUAUAUUUUAAUAUAUUUAACAUCUACUGGUCAUCCUGCCAUCUAGGGAGGGGGUGGGGGGGGUAAGAGGUGAAAAAUUGGAACAAGAGGUUUGGCAAUUGUUAAUGCUGUAAAGUUACCCAUGCAUAUAUCCUGUAAAUAAAAGGCUAUUAAAAAAAAGAAGAAGAAGAAGUUAUUGGUAACUUUGGAGAGAGUAGUUCUAGGAGAAUGAUAAAUUUAGAAGCUUGAUUAUAAGAGAUUAAGAAGAGAAAAAGUAGAGGCACCAAUUUUAGACAGGCUUUUCAAGGAGUUUAGCCACAAAGGGCAGAGGACAUAUAGGAUUAUAUUCAUUGGAAAUGGAAGGAUCAAAGACAGAUUGUUUAAGAAUAGGGAGACAAGUUUGUAGGCCGUAGAGUAGAAAUCAUUAGGGAGAAAUUGAACUUUCUUGGUGCUAGUUAUCAUACUUAUGCAUCAACAAACAUAUCUUUAAGUACCAACAUUUUUUAUUCACCUUGCUAGAUAUUAAACUAGAC
This is a long non-coding RNA of Sarcophilus harrisii (Tasmanian devil), 3314 nucleotides long. The record is from Ensembl. NCBI's taxonomy places the organism in Eukaryota, Metazoa, Chordata, Mammalia, Dasyuromorphia, Dasyuridae.